CCUCUUUUAGCAGGGAAGAAGCGAAAGUGACGGUACCUGCAGAAAAAGCACCGGCUAACUACGUGCCAGCAGCCGCGGUAAUAUGUAGGGUGCAAGCGUUAUCCGGAAUUAUUGGGCGUAAAGAGCUCGUAGGCGGUUUGUCCGCGUUCUGCUGUGAAAUCCGGAGGCUCAACCUCCGGCCUGCAGUGGGUACGGGCAGACUAGAGUGCGGUAGGGGAGAUUGGAAUUCCUGGUGUAGCGGUGGAAUGCGCAGAUAUCAGGAGGAACACCGAUGGCGAAGGCAGAUCUCUGGGCCGUAACUGACGCUGAGGAGCGAAAGGGUGGGGAGCAAACAGGCUUAGAUACCCUGGUAGUCCACCCCGUAAACGUUGGGAACUAGUUGUGGGGUCCAUUCCACGGAUUCCGUGACGCAGCUAACGCAUUAAGUUCCCCGCCUGGGGAGUACGGCCGCAAGGCUAAAACUCAAAGGAAUUGACGGGGACCCGCACAAGCGGCGGAGCAUGCGGAUUAAUUCGAUGCAACGCGAAGAACCUUACCAAGGCUUGACAUAUACGAGAACGGGCCAGAAAUGGUCAACUCUUUGGACACUCGUAAACAGGUGGUGCAUGGUUGUCGUCAGCUCGUGUCGUGAGAUGUUGGGUUAAGUCCCGCAACGAGCGCAACCCUCGUUCUAUGUUGCCAGCACGUAAUGGUGGGAACUCAUGGGAUACUGCCGGGGUCAACUCGGAGGAAGGUGGGGAUGACGUCAAAUCAUCAUGCCCCUUAUGUCUUGGGCUUCACGCAUGCUACAAUGGCCGGUACAAAGGGCUGCAAUACCGCGAGGUGGAGCGAAUCCCAAAAAGCCGGUCCCAGUUCGGAUUGAGGUCUGCAACUCGACCUCAUGAAGUCGGAGUCGCUAGUAAUCGCAGAUCAGCAACGCUGCGGUGAAUACGUUCCCGGGGUCUUGUACACACCGCCCGUCAAGUCAUGA
RNAcentral lists this ribosomal RNA (970 nucleotides) under Microbacterium oxydans. RNAcentral describes it as "bacterial SSU rRNA". It matches the Rfam family "Bacterial small subunit ribosomal RNA", at positions 430 to 1407 of the family's 1533-position model. Lineage: Bacteria; Bacillati; Actinomycetota; Actinomycetes; Micrococcales; Microbacteriaceae. The record is from RNAcentral.